RNAcentral lists this ribosomal RNA (253 nucleotides) under uncultured bacterium. Its description in RNAcentral is "partial 16S ribosomal RNA". It matches the Rfam family "Bacterial small subunit ribosomal RNA", at positions 524 to 776 of the family's 1533-position model. The record is from RNAcentral.
UACGAGGGGGGCUAGUGUUGUUCGGAAUUACUGGGCGUAAAGGGAGCGUAGGCGGGCGUUUAAGUUAGGUGUUUAAUCCCGGGGCCCAACCCCGGACCGGCACCUAAAACUGGACGUCUUGAAUAGUGGAGAGGUCGGUGGAAUUGGAGGUGUAGCGGUGGAAUGCGUAGAGAUCGGGAAGAACACCAGUGGCGAAGGCGGUCUGCUGGGCCGUUGCUGACGCUGAGGCGCGACAGCGUGGGGAGCAAACAGG